CUCACUCAUAGGAAGGAGGAGACUAGAGAGGUCUCACAGUCUCUUCAUUCAUUGCCGAAAUGGAUUCUUACAGAAGUAACCACGCCUCCUGAGCGUUCAAGUUCACAAACCACGCUGUCUCCUUGUUUCAGGUUGUACUUCUUACUUAGAGCCGCCCAGCCAGUGAAACAAGGGUUACGACCGUAGAUCUUAGUGAAAGCAUCGUGUUUUUGGUUGCGGACGAUGUAAUACAUGGGGGAUUUAUGGGGACCAAACUUCAGCCCAUACUUCUCAAUCACCGGAUGGCCCACAUACUAUUUGCACACACAUAGAAAAUAGGGAGACAACAAGUCUUUAGCUUCAUAGGAAACAAACAUAAACUGAAAUUUUAUUACUACAAAAGAAACUAACAAAGCUGUUAUUAUUUACCAGAACAUCGAUCUUUUUAGUCAGUGUCUUCACAAAGUAGGGAUUGUUGGGAUUGAAGAGGUACUGUUCAGGGUUUUGGACAUUUAGGACAGGAGCAUAACCCUGUCUUGCUCCACUUACUGAAAUAUCCGACAUAACAGAAACAAAAAGGAAUCAAACUUAGAGCAGAAUAUUCAUAUUUCAUUCGAUAUAUAAGAAAAAAAAGGUCUUACCAGAGCCAGAGGAAGAGGCAGCGUGAGAAGUCUGGGGAUUAGUGUUAAGCAGUUCAGAUUCGGGCUCAGCUUCAAGAAGAGGCGCCGAGACGAUCUCCUUGAAGACGUGCAAAUCUUGCUUAUAGAUUCGCACUUCUACAAACAUUGUGUCUUGGUGUGUGAAGAACAAGACAUCGUUUGGACCUAACAAGUUGUCAUCCACAAACUCAUCCCAAUCUUCUUUUUCCAUGAACAGACCACCGUUGUUCUUGUCUCGCUGGAGCCAGAGCUGCCACGAGUUGCCCCAAGAAACACUAAACACCACUCUAUGCUCAAUAGCACCAGACGCGCUUCUCAAAAACUCCUCAGGAAUAAUCCUCUUCGUAAACCAAACCAGUUGACAAAGAACAAACAAUAUUGGCAUUAGAAGAGAACAAAUGAGAGUAACUUUCAGAAAUAAUAGCAAGUUGAAAGCAGAGUAGCUCUGUUUUCAGAGGAGAGACUAAUAGUGAGUUACCAUGGAUUUAGAUUUCCAAGUUUCUCCAGAAGACAGAGACUUGUAGAAGCGAGGCUUGCUCACAUUUUCCUGAAGCAUAGCAAAAACACUACUUUGCGACAUUAUCUUGUUUUUUUUUUCCUUCAGCUUCAAAGCCGCUAGUUCUGUUUCAGAAACUAGGGUUUGUAAGUGAAAUGAAGGGAAAAAAAAAUUUAACACUUUACCACGCCGAUUGUUUGCUAAAAUACACUCCUAAGUGUUAGGAGAGCAAACAAUGUGUGCGGACAGUAGUGGAGAAACCCUAGGUUAGAAUUGGGAGUAAUAGUUUCUAUUUUAAGAAGGAAAGAAAAAAAAAACAUAAUUGAGUAACACGCAAGUAACUGCUUAAAAGGUAAACGCCGGUGUAAAAUGCACGUACCAGUGACAGUAGAAGAAGCUUUAUCCCUAGCUGACGCUGCUCUUCUGAGUGAGGAUAGAGAGAGGAGAAAAUGCAUCAAGAGCAACUGUUACUUUGACUCGUACGGAACAAGUUGCCAAAGCAUAUUAUUACUGAGUCUGACAAGAUCCAUUUUGAAAUUGGGCUUGAAAAGGCCCAUUAUAAAACUAGGUCAUAAAAUAGUGUUAAUAAUAGCAACAAAACGUAGCUCAUCUAUCUUCUAUACCACUACUAUAUCAGAGGUGACACGAUACUAAAUGCACUUGCCGUGACCGUUGUUAUCGUGUUUGUCACGGUAUCCGCAAGUUUUUGUUUGGGCUCAUGGUUAAUGUGCUUUCAUGUCUUUCAAGUGUUCACUUGAAAACACUUUAAUUGUUACAUUUUUUUGAAGUACAAAGAUGGAACCAAUCAUAUUCAUAGACAUUGUUGAAACAAUUAAAUACAAAGAGUUUCAUACAAUUAAAAAACUAUAUAAUAUUACAAAGACCAUAGCUUAUGCAACAGACAUUCCAUCAUAUGCUUCAUUUUCUAAUCAACCGUCUGAGAAUUUAGCAGGCAAUGGAAGUUGCUGAAGGAGUUACCAGAACAGCUGUCUUUCCAGUUACCGGCUUCAUACUAGCUGCACUCUCUAGCCUUGCCCACGUUUCUUUCCUCUUCUCCAUUACAGAACAUUGCUUUGCUUCUUCCUCUUGAUAGCGUGCGUGGCAAGACAUGAACAAAUCCUCGUCCAUUUCACAGAACAUUUUCCUCACGUUUAGGGUUAGGUUCAGCACAGAUUGGUUCCAAUGAUUCUCAGCAUUCUUCUCCAAAGCAGCGAACAUGAUCGGCAGUAUAGCUUCCCGGUUAUGCGCAACCAAAUUCACAAUCUGAUCAUUGCUCCACAAGAACAAAGCUCUUUCGGAAACCUAAAAAGCCCAAAAAAGCCCAUUAGCUCAAAAACUUUCCAAAAACUAUUAGAUCUCAUCAAAACAUACCUGAAAGUGACAACUGUUGACACAACAAGCAACCCUCAAGAACAACGGAACCAUCACUUUCCGAAACUCCACCACACUCAUCCCCUCAACAACCUCUUCAACCUCUCCAAUAAACAUCACUUCCUUCUGACUAUUCGUGACAGGCCAGAACUUCAACAAACCAUUCACCACAACACUCCCCAGCUUCGGCUCCUUAUCCACAAACUGAGUCACGCAGUAAGUUAACUGCUGGAAGUAGCUCCCAAGGGACUUAGCUUUGUGCAAAGGAAUCAACACUCUCCACAAAAACAUCUUGUGUUCUUCCUUCAAAGGCAGAGCAAAACCACUCACUAUGCUCCCGAAAACCUCCAGAAGCUCGGCGAUUCCGCCGUGCUUCUCAGUCUCAAACACAAACCUGUAGAAUAUAUUACUCAUUGACUUGCGGAUAAAGGGUCUGUGAACCAUGAACUUCCCGUAGAGACGGUGGAGAACCGUCUUCAAACACUCUCGUUCUCUAGGAUCUUCCGAAUCAAACAAGUCGAGUAACCUCAGUAUAAACCCAUGGUUUAGAUACUUCUUUGACAUUUUAGCGUCAAGACACGAAGAGGUUAUGAACUUAACCAACAGAUCGUAAACCAUCUGCAAAUGAGGUCACGCAGGGUCGAACACCGGCUCGUUAUCAUCACCAUCGUUCUCCCGGUAACUAGGAGGGAAAACUAUGAAGAGAUUCACAGCGAACAUUCUACACAUUUCGAGAACAGCUGGCUCGGUGAAUCUAACGGAGUAUUAAUUAUUUUUAGAUUUAACGUAUAUAAAACAUCAAAAAUGAUACUUUUAAAUUGGUUUAAAUACUUGAAAAUAUAUAUAGAUAGUCAAAAGUAAAUAUCUGAAAUAGUUAAAGUAUACUCAAAUCACCAAAAAUACUUAAAAUAAUUAUUGAUUUCGUAUCCAAAAUUUUAAAUCAAGCCAAUUGAUAUGUUAAGCUUAAGUAUUAUGACAUAUGUUAUUCAAAUUUAUACGUAAUAUAUUAUUUUAUUUAUACAUUUUGAGAAAUUUAAAAUAUAUAAUGAUUUAAGACUUUAAAAAUAAUUUAAAUUAGUUAUCCAAACCCAAACCAAACCCGCAAAGAUCCAAAUCGAACUCAAACCAAAAUUUAGAAACAUUCUAAUAAGGCUGAAAUCUUUGACCCCGAAAAUUCAAAAUACAAACCGAUCAGAACUAAACCCGUAUGGGUGUCCAAAAGCCCAUCCUUAGUCAUUAUUAUAUAUCGUAUUUUAUCAUCAUAUAAUUAAUCGUAUUUUAUAUGUACCAUCAUAUAAGUAAUCAUAUAAUUAAUAGUAUUUUAUACAUACCAUCAUAUAAAUAAUUACAUAUAUUAUAUUUUUAAAACUUAAUAUGAAAUAUGAAAACCAUAAUUUGAGUUGGUAUUUCAAAUUGGGCUUUGUAUUAUAUUUUUCUUAUAUAUAUUGACAAUAUUUUUUUAUAAUGGUUAUUGAAAAAUAGUUUAGUAAAAAUCCAUUUUUGAAUAUAUGUAUAUUUUUGAAUCAAUUUUUGAUAUAAAUCAAAUUUGAAUUAUUAUUUUGAUUUGAAAUAUGUAUAUAAAGUUUAAAUUUUGUUUUAUGGUUAGUUUAGAAAAAAAAAUUUUAGGGAAUUAGAUUGACCCAUUUUGGUAUAUUUUAAAAGUGGCCUAGAUAACUUUCAAUUUUUUAAAAAAACAUAAGCCCAUUACUUUUUUUCUUAAUACUACUAUCCUUGUUUUCAAACAAAAAUAUUUUUUUUUAAAAGACUGCAAUCCAUGUUUCCAAACACUCCAAAUUUUUAAAAGUCCUAUUCAAGUUUCCAAACACUCCAAUUUUGUACUUGUGUUUUAAUCCCCUAUAUAUUAAUUGAGGAUCAUUUAAAAAAUUAUAACCUGUAUUUUGUAUUAAUUAAAAAACGUCCUUGCUUAUGUGUCAGUUAAUUAAGCUGUUAAUUUUGCUUACGUGUCAACCUACAAAUCAAUUGGAAAAUAUGUUUGUCCAAAUCUAAUUGUUAGGCAAUUGCUAGGCGAUAUAUGUAUAUGGGAUAUGUGAUAUGAAAUAUGAUAUAAAACAUAUAAACUUUAGUUUAGCAUAAGAACAUGAUCGUAACAACUCAGAGCUAUGUCUAAAAAAACCUGGCGAAUGAAAAACAUUACUCGAUGAUAAUAACAUGAUCACAAGUUGACAAACAAUAUCGACGUUGGUAACAUAAAAGUUGAGAAACAAUAAUCCAGUAUAAGAAAAUUUUAUACAAUACUCGACCAUACAAAGUUUAAUAAGAAACUAUGAUGAUAGUUUAUACAUCCGAAAACUAAUCUGAUAGUUUAUACAUCCGAAAAAGUUGACUAGCAAAUAAAAUCGGACAUCUUCUUCCGUUAGUCUACAAUAACAGUUAUAAUACUUAUAUUCUCUUGAAAAACUUCUACACAAAACCUUACUAGUCAUUGUAGUUAUGGCAUUACAGUUCUGUAUAUCCGAGAAUUGAAAAAAACGAAGAAGAUGUCCGGUUUAGUAUUUAUAAUUUAACCGAGCAAAAUUGAAAGAAAAAUUGGUUCGUACAGAAUUUAACCGAGACGUAACCAGUAAAAAGACAUCGAAGAUAUUUACUUUUUGUAGGUAUCAAUGAUGUUUUCCUUUCUAGAUCAAAAAUUUAAUAAUACUCCCUUAAUAAUCUUAUAGAUAUAUGAGAAUAAAAUAUGCUUGAUACACAAGUCGGAAAGUUGGAAAUAUGGAAACUUUAUAUUUAAAAUUCCAAACUUUGAUAGAAAGGGAAUAUUUGAUAAUAUCUUUUAGUCGUCUACAAUCUAUAACCCAAUUGCUAUCCCCUAUAUAUUAAUAGAGAUAAUCAUAUUGCUAUCCCCUAUAUAUUAAUAGAGAUAAUCAUAUUGUGAUUUAACAUAAUAAAUCACAAUAUAAUUAGGAGAUAAUUGGAAAACAUAAAUGUAUAUGAUAUGUUAUACAGGGCAUCAUAAUAAUCAAUUAAAAAAUUAGUAAGUCCAAAAUCCAAUUGCUAGAAAAAGAUUAUAAUUCAAACAUAAAUGUAUAUGAUAUGAUAAACUUAAUAUUCGGCGAUCUCAUUAAAUGAAACUUUAUUUAAAUGGCGAUCUCCUAAUUAUAUUGUGAUUUAACAUAAUAACUUUAAAAAAAAAGUGUAAGAUAUAUUCUUAGUCUGUAUUACUUGGACAUCAAUUUAAAUCAAACUUUGUUAUAUAUUACGGCCUAAGUAUUGCAUGGUUUUGCUAUAAAUCAGAAAGUAAUGAUUUUUUAAGUGUUGUUUUUUUAUUAAUAGCAAAGAGACACUUUGAUAAAUAAAAAAUAGCAAAGAAACGCAGCUAUUCAAAAUUGUUUUGUUAAUAAAAGAAAAAGGAAGAAGAAUAUUGUUCGGUUCUCAUGCCUUACUUGCCUACAUAAAUUUAUAUAAAUAGUAAUACAUAAAUUAAGUUGUUUUUAUUACUAAACGAACUUAUAUAUCGAAUAUUUUUUCUUGCAACACAAUUCUAAAGAAAGAACUUAAAUUAUGAAAUUUAUAUUGAAGAUUAAAAAAAAUCUUUGUCACCUGCCUAAUUAUUUUUUGUCGUCUAGGAAAACAUUAAUAAAUAAUGACCUUUCGUAGUAGCUAAUGAUAUAUAUCACUUUAAUCUAACUUUCAUCAUAUUCAAAGUAUUGGUUGCAAACAAAUAAUACUAUCAUGUUUCUAUAUUUGGGUCUUAAGUAUAAUAAUAGUCGGGCUGCAAAAUUUUAUACUGUCUUAAUUUGGUCCAUAACCAAACUAUACUUCAAAUUAUAAGCUUAAUCCAAUUUGUGAUUGUCUUUUUCGUAUUUUAAUUUGUAAUCUUAUAUUGUCAAAAGAAAGUAAAAAUAUGAUAUUCUGAAAAUUAGUGUAACUUCAAAAUCGAAAAUAUAUAAAUUUUAUCUAAUGAUAAGUUAGUAAAAAUAUCCAAAUGUAUUGGUCCAACAUAUAUAUGAUUAUAUAAACAAACAAAAAUUGUAUACAUAUAAAAACAAUUCGAUUAUAGGGGAUUAUAAGAGUAUCAAUGAUAUCACAUUUUAAUUUUUGAUUUGGGCUUCUAUACUUUUUCUAUGUGUACCAAAUAUUUAUUGGUAGUUAAUUAUUAUAUAUUAAGAAAAACAUAAAUACCAAAUAUAUAUUGACCACAAGAACAUAUGUAUUCAUAAGUCAUCAGAUUUUACAAUAUAAAAACAUAAGUUUUUUAAUAAAUAUUUUAUCCUGCGCAAAACGCAGGUCUUAUCCUAGUAAGAUAGAUAAAACGUAAAAUUUAGCGAUUUGUCAUGGGUUGCUGGGCUCACUUUAACCUAUAUAAUUUCUUGUAUAAGAAGGCAAGAGAAACGGUGCCGUUUUAUGUUUUAUAUAGAGCUCUAUACAAACUUACAAGAAUAAAAGUAGAUGUAUGCAAAUCUGAUAUAUACAUGUGAAUUCAGACAAUGCAAUGAUGCCAACUUUACUUCUAAAAUCAAAAUAUAUCAUUAUAAGGAACUCUACUCAUAAAGCAUGUAACACUUCAUACCAAGCAUCCAUUAAUCUAAAUAUAGUAGCAGGUUGGUAAACACUUAAUUUGCUCACUCAUAGGAAGGAGGAGACUAGAGAGGUCUCACAGUCUCUUCAUUCAUUGCCGAAAUGGAUUCUUACAGAAGUAACCACGCCUCCUGAGCGUUCAAGUUCACAAACCACGCUGUCUCCUUGUUUCAGGUUGUACUUCUUACUUAGAGCCGCCCAGCCAGUGAAACAAGGGUUACGACCGUAGAUCUUAGUGAAAGCAUCGUGUUUUUGGUUGCGGACGAUGUAAUACAUGGGGGAUUUA
Molecule: long non-coding RNA, 7324 nt
Filed under: Brassica napus (rape)
Lineage: Eukaryota; Viridiplantae; Streptophyta; Magnoliopsida; Brassicales; Brassicaceae
Description: long non-coding RNA (BNAP_LNC007291)
Source: RNAcentral